ACAACGCCCAAAAUUAAGGUGAACCGCGAAAAGGCUCAUUAAAUCAGUUAUGGUUCCUUAGAUCGUACCCACAUUUACUUGGAUAACUGUGGUAAUUCUAGAGCUAAUACAUGCAAACAGAGCUCCGCCCGGAGACGGAAGGAGUGCUUUUAUUAGAUCAAAACCAAUCGGUGGCGGGCUUGCUCGUCAUCGUACAUUUUGGUGACUCUGAAUAACUUUUUGCUGAUCGCACGGUCUCGCACCGGCGACGCAUCUUUCAAAUGUCUGCCUUAUCAACUGUCGAUGGUAGGUUCUGCGCCUACCAUGGUUGUAACGGGUAACGGGGAAUCAGGGUUCGAUUCCGGAGAGGGAGCCUGAGAAACGGCUACCACAUCCAAGGAAGGCAGCAGGCGCGCAAAUUACCCACUCCCGGCACGGGGAGGUAGUGACGAAAAAUAACGAUACGGGACUCAUCCGAGGCCCCGUAAUCGGAAUGAGUACACUCUAAACCCUUUAACGAGGAUCAAUUGGAGGGCAAGUCUGGUGCCAGCAGCCGCGGUAAUUCCAGCUCCAAUAGCGUAUAUUAAAGUUGUUGCGGUUAAAAAGCUCGUAGUCGAAUCUGUGUCCCGCGCCGUCGGUUCAUCGCUCGCGGUGUUCAACUGACGUGCCGCGGGACGUCCUGCCGGUGGGCUUAGCUCGUCCGCGGGCGGCCCAACUUCAAAUCCCACCGCGGUGCUCUUGACUGAGUGUCGAGGUGGGCCGGCACGUUUACUUUGAACAAAUUAGAGUGCUUAAAGCAGGCUAAAAUUUCGCCUGAAUACUGUGUGCAUGGAAUAAUGGAAUAGGACCUCGGUUCUAUUUUGUUGGUUUUCGGAACUCCGAGGUAAUGAUUAAUAGGAACGGAUGGGGGCAUUCGUAUUGCGACGUUAGAGGUGAAAUUCUUGGAUCGUCGCAAGACGGACAGAAGCGAAAGCAUUUGCCAAAAACGCUUUCAUUGAUCAAGAACGAAAGUUAGAGGUUCGAAGGCGAUCAGAUACCGCCCUAGUUCUAACCAUAAACGAUGCCAGCUAGCGAUCCGCCGACGUUCCUCCGAUGACUCGGCGGGCAGCUUCCGGGAAACCAAAGCUUUUGGGUUCCGGGGGAAGUAUGGUUGCAAAGCUGAAACUUAAAGGAAUUGACGGAAGGGCACCACCAGGAGUGGAGCCUGCGGCUUAAUUUGACUCAACACGGGAAACCUCACCAGGCCCGGACACCGGAAGGAUUGACAGAUUGAGAGCUCUUUCUUGAUUCGGUGGGUGGUGGUGCAUGGCCGUUCUUAGUUGGUGGAGCGAUUUGUCUGGUUAAUUCCGAUAACGAACGAGACUCUAGCCUGCUAACUAGGCGUAUUUUCGACAUCUCAAAGGCCCGCCGGCCCGGCGUCCGCGUCGUGGUCGUGCGCGGUUUUUACUGUCGGCGUACAAUCAAUUCUUCUUAGAGGGACAGGCGGCUUCUAGCCGCACGAGAUUGAGCAAUAACAGGUCUGUGAUGCCCUUAGAUGUUCUGGGCCGCACGCGCGCUACACUGAAGGAAUCAGCGUGUCUUCCCUGGCCGAGAGGCCCGGGUAACCCGCUGAACCUCCUUCGUGCUAGGGAUUGGGGCUUGCAAUUGUUCCCCAUGAACGAGGAAUUCCCAGUAAGCGCGAGUCAUAAGCUCGCGUUGAUUACGUCCCUGCCCUUUGUACACACCGCCCGUCGCUACUACCGAUUGAAUGAUUUAGUGAGGUCUUCGGACUGGUACGCGGUGGCGCUUACGCGUCGCCGAUGUUGCUGGGAAGAUGACCAAACUUGAUCAUUUAGAGGAAG
RNAcentral lists this ribosomal RNA (1820 nucleotides) under Laccobius simulans. RNAcentral's name for it is "SSU rRNA". It matches the Rfam family "Eukaryotic small subunit ribosomal RNA". The record is from RNAcentral. Lineage: Eukaryota; Metazoa; Arthropoda; Insecta; Coleoptera; Hydrophilidae.